RNAcentral lists this transfer RNA (73 nucleotides) under Mus musculus (house mouse). RNAcentral describes it as "tRNA-Asn". Lineage: Eukaryota; Metazoa; Chordata; Mammalia; Rodentia; Muridae. The record is from RNAcentral.
GGAGGGAUAGCUCAGUGGUUAAGAGCACUGAUUGUUCUUCCAGAGGUCUUAAGUUCAAUUCCCAACCACACGG